CCUACGGGAGGCAGCAGUGGGGAAUAUUGCACAAUGGGGGAAACCCUGAUGCAGCAACGCCGCGUGAAGGAAGACGGUUUUCGGAUUGUAAACUUCUGUUCUUAGUGAAGAAUAAUGACGGUAGCUAAGGAGCAAGCCACGGCUAACUACGUGCCAGCAGCCGCGGCACUACGUAGGUGGCAAGCGUUGUCCGGAAUUACUGGGUGUAAAGGGAGCGCAGGCGGGAAGGCAAGUCAGCUGUGAAAACUACGGGCUUAACUUGUAGACUGCAGUUGAAACUGGUUUACUUGAGUGAAGUAGAGGGUGGCGGAAUUCCGGGUGUAGCAGUGAAAUGCGUAGAUAUUCGGAGGAACACCGGUGGCGAAGGCGGCCAACUGGGCUUUAACUGUCGCUGAGGCUCGAAGGUGUGGGGAGCGAACGGGAUUAGAUACCCCUGUAGUC
Molecule: ribosomal RNA, 441 nt
Filed under: uncultured bacterium
Lineage: Bacteria
Description: partial 16S ribosomal RNA
Rfam family: Bacterial small subunit ribosomal RNA
Source: RNAcentral